RNAcentral lists this small RNA (904 nucleotides) under Pan troglodytes (chimpanzee). RNAcentral's name for it is "processed transcript". The record is from RNAcentral. Lineage: Eukaryota; Metazoa; Chordata; Mammalia; Primates; Hominidae.
AUCUUCCAGGGUACCUAACACAUUGCAGAUAUUCAUGGUAUGUUUGUUAAAUAAAUGAACUUGAUAGAUUUGACCCUCAUAGAGUUAUUUGGACUUGCAAAAAGUUUGUAGUUAACUCCAAUCUGUGAUGUGGGAGAGACUUCUAGGCAGGUUGCUUUCUCCAGGGCAUGUUCUUAUAUUUCCCAUGACCCACCACCCCCCUGCAAAAGGACUGGGCCUAUUUCAGGAAGGUGACUGAUGGCCUGCACUGUAGCACAGGGGUUGUGCAUUGUGCCUUGCAGGAACAAAAUUUUCAAUAAAGUAAAUGUUUGUUUGUUUGUUUUUGAGACGGAGUUUUGCUUUGUGAGCCAAGAUCGCACUGCUGUACCCAGCCUGGGCCACAGAGCAAGACUCCAUCUCAAAAAAAAAAGAAAAGAAAAAGCCUGUUUAAUGCACAGGUGUGAGUGGAUUGCUUAUGGUUAUGAGAUAGGUUGAUCUCGCCCUUACCCCGGGGUCUGGUGUAUGCUGUGCUUUCCUCAGCAGCAUGGCUCUGACAUCUCUUAGAUGUCCCAACUUCAGCUGUUGGGAGAUGGUGAUAUUUUCAACCCUACUUCCUAAACAUCUGUCUGGGGUUCCUUUAGUCUUGAAUGUCUUAUGCUCAAUUAUUUGGUGUUGAGCCUCUCUUCCACAAGAGCUCCUCCAUGUUUGGAUAGCAGUUGAAGAGGUGUGUGGGUGGGCUGUUGGGAGUGAGGAUGGAGUGUUCAGUGCCCAUUUCUCAUUUUACAUUUUAAAGUCGUUCCUCCAACAUAGUGUGUAUUGGUCUGAAGAGGGUGGUGGGAUGCCAAAGCCUGCUCAAGUUAUGGACAUUGUGGCCACCAUGUGGCUUAAAUGAUUUUUUCUAACUAAUAAAGUGAAAUAUAUAUUU